RNAcentral lists this ribosomal RNA (372 nucleotides) under uncultured organism. Its description in RNAcentral is "bacterial SSU rRNA". It matches the Rfam family "Bacterial small subunit ribosomal RNA", at positions 526 to 897 of the family's 1533-position model. The record is from RNAcentral.
CGUAGGGUGCGAGCGUUAAUCGGAAUUACUGGGCGUAAAGCGUGCGCAGGCGGUUCGCCAAGUCAGGUGUGAAAUCCCCGGGCUUAACCUGGGAAUUGCGCUUGAAACUAGCGGGCUUGAGUGUGGCAGAGGGGGUGGAAUUCCACGUGUAGCAGUGAAAUGCGUAGAGAUGUGGAGGAACACCGAUGGCGAAGGCAGCCCCCUGGGUCAACACUGACGCUCAUGCACGAAAGCGUGGGGAGCAAACAGGAUUAGAUACCCUGGUAGUCCACGCCCUAAACGAUGUCGACUAGGUGUUGGGGAAGGAGACUUCCUUAGUACCGCAGCUAACGCGUGAAGUCGACCGCCUGGGGAGUACGGUCGCAAGAUUAA